AGUGGCGAACGGGUGAGUAAUGCAUCGGAACGUACCGUGUAGUGGGGGAUAACGUAGCGAAAGUUACGCUAAUACCGCAUACGCCCUGAGGGGGAAAGUGGGGGACCGCAAGGCCUCACGCUAUAUGAGCGGCCGAUGUCGGAUUAGCUAGUUGGUAGGGUAAAGGCCUACCAAGGCGACGAUCCGUAGCGGGUCUGAGAGGAUGAUCCGCCACACUGGGACUGAGACACGGCCCAGACUCCUACGGGAGGCAGCAGUGGGGAAUUUUGGACAAUGGGCGCAAGCCUGAUCCAGCCAUGCCGCGUGAGUGAAGAAGGCCUUCGGGUUGUAAAGCUCUUUCAGACGGAAAGAAAUCUCUCGGGAUAACACCCUGGGAGGAUGACGGUACCGUAAGAAGAAGCACCGGCUAACUACGUGCCAGCAGCCGCGGUAAUACGUAGGGUGCGAGCGUUAAUCGGAAUUACUGGGCGUAAAGCGUGCGCAGGCGGUGAUGUAAGACAGAUGUGAAAUCCCCGGGCUCAACCUGGGAACUGCGUUUGUGACUGCAUCACUCGAGUACGGCAGAAGGGAAGGUGGAAUUUCCGCGUGUAGCAGUGAAAUGCGUAGAUAUGCGGAGGAACACCGAUGGCGAAAGGCAGCCUCCUGGGCCAGUACUGACGCUCAUGCACGAAAGCGUGGG
This 679-nucleotide ribosomal RNA is filed under the name uncultured Zoogloea sp. RNAcentral describes it as "bacterial SSU rRNA". It matches the Rfam family "Bacterial small subunit ribosomal RNA", at positions 94 to 765 of the family's 1533-position model. Lineage: Bacteria; Pseudomonadati; Pseudomonadota; Betaproteobacteria; Rhodocyclales; Zoogloeaceae. The record is from RNAcentral.